AGAUGUUCAUUUGGUAUAUCGAUAGGGACAUAACUAACCACAUAUUCAUGUGGAACUUAACUAUGUAAUGUAUGUGAUGUAUAUGUGCAGUGGAAGAUGAUGAGUCAACAUUAGGCAAAGGAGAUGAUGAUGACAAAGGCAUAGUCUUAACAAAGUGCAAGGAGCAUGAAAUAAUAAAAUGGUAUUAGGAAACAUAUCAACUGCCUCAUAAAUGUAUAGAAAUUUUUUGUCCUUGGUAGUUGAGAAAUUAACA
RNAcentral lists this long non-coding RNA (253 nucleotides) under Brassica rapa (field mustard). Its description in RNAcentral is "long non-coding RNA (BRAP_LNC005062)". The record is from RNAcentral. Lineage: Eukaryota; Viridiplantae; Streptophyta; Magnoliopsida; Brassicales; Brassicaceae.